AUUGAACGCUGGCGGCAUGCCUUACACAUGCAAGUCGAACGGCAGCACGGGAGCAAUCCUGGUGGCGAGUGGCGAACGGGUGAGUAAUAUAUCGGAACGUGCCCAGUCGUGGGGGAUAACGUAGCGAAAGCUACGCUAAUACCGCAUACGAUCUAUGGAUGAAAGCGGGGGAUCGCAAGACCUCGCGCGAUUGGAGCGGCCGAUAUCAGAUUAGGUAGUUGGUGAGGUAAAGGCUCGCCAAGCCGACGAUCUGUAGCUGGUCUGAGAGGACGACCAGCCACACUGGGACUGAGACACGGCCCAGACUCCUACGGGAGGCAGCAGUGGGGAAUUUUGGACAAUGGGCGCAAGCCUGAUCCAGCAAUGCCGCGUGCAGGAUGAAGGCCU
Molecule: ribosomal RNA, 387 nt
Filed under: uncultured bacterium
Lineage: Bacteria
Description: bacterial SSU rRNA
Rfam family: Bacterial small subunit ribosomal RNA
Source: RNAcentral